RNAcentral lists this ribosomal RNA (477 nucleotides) under uncultured Glomus. Its description in RNAcentral is "SSU rRNA". It matches the Rfam family "Eukaryotic small subunit ribosomal RNA", at positions 569 to 1048 of the family's 1831-position model. The record is from RNAcentral. Lineage: Eukaryota; Fungi; Glomeromycota; Glomeromycetes; Glomerales; Glomeraceae.
AGCAGCCGCGGUAAUUCCAGCUCCAAUAGCGUAUAUUAAAGUUGUUGCAGUUAAAAAGCUCGUAGUUGAAUUUCGGGAUCGACGGGUCGGUCGCGCCUCUGGUGUGUACUGGCCCUGUCGGUUUCUCCCUUCUGACGAACCACGAUGUCAUUAAUUUGGUGUCGUGGGAAAUCAGGACUGUUACUUUGAAAAAAUUAGAGUGUUUAAAGCAGGCAUUCGCUUGAAUACAUUAGCAUGGAAUAAUGAAAUAGGACGUUUGAUCUUAUUUUGUUGGUUUCUUAAGAUCGACGUAAUGAUUAAUAGGGAUAGUUGGGGGGCAUUAGUAUUCAAUUGUCAGAGGUGAAAUUCUUGGAUUUAUUGAAGACUAACUACUGCGAAAGCAUUUGCCAAGGAUGUUUUCAUUAAUCAAGAACGAAAGUUAGGGGAUCGAAGACGAUCAGAUACCGUCGUAGUCUUAACCAUAAACUAUAGCCGACU